GACGUAGGGUGCAAGCGUUGUUCGGAAUUACUGGGCGUAAAGCGCGUGUAGGCGGGCGAAUAAGUCAGGGGUGAAAUGCCAAGGCUCAACCUUGGAACUGCCUUUGAUACUGUUCGUCUUGAGUCCGGGAGAGGUGAGUGGAACUGCGAGUGUAGAGGUGAAAUUCGUAGAUAUUCGCAAGAACACCAGUGGCGAAGGCGGCUCACUGGCCCGGAACUGACGCUGAGACGCGAAAGCGUGGGGAGCAAACAGG
RNAcentral lists this ribosomal RNA (253 nucleotides) under uncultured bacterium. RNAcentral's name for it is "partial 16S ribosomal RNA". It matches the Rfam family "Bacterial small subunit ribosomal RNA", at positions 524 to 776 of the family's 1533-position model. The record is from RNAcentral.